Molecule: ribosomal RNA, 779 nt
Filed under: Lactobacillus acidophilus
Lineage: Bacteria; Bacillati; Bacillota; Bacilli; Lactobacillales; Lactobacillaceae
Description: bacterial SSU rRNA
Rfam family: Bacterial small subunit ribosomal RNA
Source: RNAcentral
GUUGAGAGACUGAUCGGCCACAUUGGGACUGAGACACGGCCCAAACUCCUACGGGAGGCAGCAGUAGGGAAUCUUCCACAAUGGACGAAAGUCUGAUGGAGCAACGCCGCGUGAGUGAAGAAGGUUUUCGGAUCGUAAAGCUCUGUUGUUGGUGAAGAAGGAUAGAGGUAGUAACUGGCCUUUAUUUGACGGUAAUCAACCAGAAAGUCACGGCUAACUACGUGCCAGCAGCCGCGGUAAUACGUAGGUGGCAAGCGUUGUCCGGAUUUAUUGGGCGUAAAGCGAGCGCAGGCGGAAGAAUAAGUCUGAUGUGAAAGCCCUCGGCUUAACCGAGGAACUGCAUCGGAAACUGUUUUUCUUGAGUGCAGAAGAGGAGAGUGGAACUCCAUGUGUAGCGGUGGAAUGCGUAGAUAUAUGGAAGAACACCAGUGGCGAAGGCGGCUCUCUGGUCUGCAACUGACGCUGAGGCUCGAAAGCAUGGGUAGCGAACAGGAUUAGAUACCCUGGUAGUCCAUGCCGUAAACGAUGAGUGCUAAGUGUUGGGAGGUUUCCGCCUCUCAGUGCUGCAGCUAACGCAUUAAGCACUCCGCCUGGGGAGUACGACCGCAAGGUUGAAACUCAAAGGAAUUGACGGGGGCCCGCACAAGCGGUGGAGCAUGUGGUUUAAUUCGAAGCAACGCGAAGAACCUUACCAGGUCUUGACAUCUAGUGCAAUCCGUAGAGAUACGGAGUUCCCUUCGGGGACACUAAGACAGGUGGUGCAUGGCUGUCGUCAGCUC